GCUUGGCUAGUUCAGUUGGUAGAACGGUAGACUGUUAAUCUAUGUGUCGGGGGUUCAAAUCCCUCGCCAAGCGCCA
Molecule: transfer RNA, 76 nt
Filed under: Vibrio alginolyticus
Lineage: Bacteria; Pseudomonadati; Pseudomonadota; Gammaproteobacteria; Vibrionales; Vibrionaceae
Also listed under: 2 other names
Description: tRNA-Asn
Rfam family: tRNA
About the family: Transfer RNA (tRNA) molecules are approximately 80 nucleotides in length. Their secondary structure includes four short double-helical elements and three loops (D, anti-codon, and T loops).
Source: RNAcentral